RNAcentral lists this ribosomal RNA (119 nucleotides) under Pteropus vampyrus (large flying fox). The record is from RNAcentral. Lineage: Eukaryota; Metazoa; Chordata; Mammalia; Chiroptera; Pteropodidae.
GUCUACGGCCAUACUACCUUGACCAAGUCUGAUCCUGUCUGAUCUCGGAAGCUAAGCAGGGUUGGGCCCGGUUAGUACUUGGAUGGGAGACCGCCUAGGAAGAUGGGGUGCUGUAGGCA